Non-coding RNA from Schistosoma margrebowiei, 46 nucleotides. NCBI's taxonomy places the organism in Eukaryota, Metazoa, Platyhelminthes, Trematoda, Strigeidida, Schistosomatidae. The record is from Rfam.
GCACUGCUGAGGAGUCUCAUUCUAGGACGAAACGGCCGUCCGGUGC